RNAcentral lists this ribosomal RNA (402 nucleotides) under Klebsiella sp. OOR142. RNAcentral describes it as "bacterial SSU rRNA". It matches the Rfam family "Bacterial small subunit ribosomal RNA", at positions 990 to 1394 of the family's 1533-position model. Lineage: Bacteria; Pseudomonadati; Pseudomonadota; Gammaproteobacteria; Enterobacterales; Enterobacteriaceae. The record is from RNAcentral. RNAcentral also lists the same sequence under 1 other name.
CGAGACUUUCAGAGAUGCUUUGGUGCCUUCGGGAACUCUGAGACAGGUGCUGCAUGGCUGUCGUCAGCUCGUGUUGUGAAAUGUUGGGUUAAGUCCCGCAACGAGCGCAACCCUUAUCCUUUGUUGCCAGCGGUUCGGCCGGGAACUCCAAGGAAACUGGCAGUGAUAAACUGGAAGAAGGGGGGGAUGACCUCCAGUCAUCAUGGCCCUUACCAGUAGGGCUACACACCUGCUACAAUGGCAUAUACAAAGAAAAGCGACCUCCCGAGAGCAAGCGGACCUCAUAAAGUAUGUCGUAGUCCGGAUCGGAGUCUGCAACUCGACUCCGUGAAGUCGGAAUCGCUAGUAAUCGUGGAUCAGAAUGCCACGGUGAAUACGUUCCCGGGUCUUGUACACACCGAA